Molecule: non-coding RNA, 290 nt
Organism: Gasterosteus aculeatus aculeatus (three-spined stickleback)
Lineage: Eukaryota; Metazoa; Chordata; Actinopteri; Perciformes; Gasterosteidae
Source: RefSeq, a predicted model, not a curated record
GAAAUAUACUGGUUCACCUGGAGUCACUUUGUCUGUCACAGGUCUCCAGGUGCAGGUGAGAAGAUCAGAUUCUACCUGGUUGGAGCUGACGUGUCACAGCAGCUGUGUUCUGUCUGAUCAUCCUGAAUACGACUGGUUCAAGAAUGAAGAGAACAUCAAGACAGGAUCUUCUCUUCUAGUCUCCUCUGGUUCUACAGACAGAUAUUCCUGUGAUUUAAGAGGAUCUUGGGAUAACGGUUCUCCUGCAGUGUAUGGUCCACAGCGUCCCUCUGUGUCAGUGAGUCCCUCUG